This 72-nucleotide transfer RNA is filed under the name Whalleya microplaca. RNAcentral's name for it is "tRNA-Glu". It matches the Rfam family "tRNA". From Rfam's summary of the family: Transfer RNA (tRNA) molecules are approximately 80 nucleotides in length. Their secondary structure includes four short double-helical elements and three loops (D, anti-codon, and T loops). Further hydrogen bonds mediate the characteristic L-shaped molecular structure. tRNAs have two regions of fundamental functional importance: the anti-codon, which is responsible for specific mRNA codon recognition, and the 3' end, to which the tRNAs corresponding amino acid is attached (by aminoacyl-tRNA synthetases). tRNAs cope with the degeneracy of the genetic code in two manners: having more than one tRNA (with a specific anti-codon) for a particular amino acid; and 'wobble' base-pairing, i.e. permitting non-standard base-pairing at the 3rd anti-codon position. The record is from RNAcentral. RNAcentral also lists the same sequence under 7 other names. Lineage: Eukaryota; Fungi; Ascomycota; Sordariomycetes; Xylariales; Xylariaceae.
UCCGAUAUAGUGUAACGGCUAACAUACCUCGUUUUCACCGAGGAGCUCGGGGUUCGAUUCCCCGUAUCGGAG